This 31-nucleotide non-coding RNA is filed under the name Mus musculus (house mouse). The record is from RNAcentral. Lineage: Eukaryota; Metazoa; Chordata; Mammalia; Rodentia; Muridae.
UGAAGUUGUGUCUUUAGCAUUUCUAGGAAGU